This 270-nucleotide long non-coding RNA is filed under the name Carica papaya (papaya). RNAcentral's name for it is "long non-coding RNA (CPAP_LNC014847)". Lineage: Eukaryota; Viridiplantae; Streptophyta; Magnoliopsida; Brassicales; Caricaceae. The record is from RNAcentral.
AGGUCUCCAUACCCUGUCCGGUAUGAGAGACCAUGUUCUCGGUAGGGUUUCCUACAAACCUGGUCCAUCUACCAUCUACCAUCUCCCAGGAUAUCUAGUCAGGCUGUACACAUUUUUCACGUAUCAAUUCACAUAACCUUUUUGCCUUUUUCCUUAAUCUCAAUCAUCCAAUCAUACAAAAUAUGUAAACCAGUAAUUGACACUAAAUAAGACAACACAGUACCGGGUUCACCAUAAUACAAACCAUAAUGAAAGGAACCAUAGUUCAUG